GACGAACCGUGCGAACGUUGUUCGGAAUCACUGGGCUUAAAGGGCGCGUAGGCGGUUGGUCAAGUCAGGGGUGAAAUCUUUCGGCUCAACCGGAAAACUGCCUUUGAUAUUGACUGGCUGGAGGGAGAUAGGGGUUGCGGGAACUACCAGUGGAGCGGUGAAAUGCGUUGAUAUUGGUAGGAACGCCGGUGGCGAAAGCGCGCAACUGGAUCUCUUCUGACGCUGAGUGCGCGAAAGCUAGGGGAGCAAACAGG
This 254-nucleotide ribosomal RNA is filed under the name uncultured bacterium. RNAcentral's name for it is "partial 16S ribosomal RNA". It matches the Rfam family "Bacterial small subunit ribosomal RNA", at positions 524 to 776 of the family's 1533-position model. The record is from RNAcentral.